Long non-coding RNA from Megalobrama amblycephala (Wuchang bream), 375 nucleotides. RefSeq lists it as uncharacterized. The record is from RefSeq and is a predicted model, not a curated record. The transcript has 4 exons. NCBI's taxonomy places the organism in Eukaryota, Metazoa, Chordata, Actinopteri, Cypriniformes, Xenocyprididae.
AUUAUUACUUCGUACAUCGACCAUGCAGGACUCAAAUUCAGGGUCUGCAGUCACGUGUGUUUGUCCAUCAGUGUUCAGCUGUCUGUCUGCUGUCUGGAGGAUGAUGAUUUCUGUUUGUUCCUCUGAGGAAAUGGAUCUUCAGUCUCUGGAUGUUUCUCUCUCUGUAGAGGAGACCCGACCAGAACCGGCCCAGAGUUCAGUGCGGCCAUACAGUGAUGGAGAAAGUUACUUUUAAAAAUGUAAAGGCUCUUUCACACCAGAAGUGAAAUGAAUAAUCCUCAGGCAAAUUAAAAGCUGUACAGUAGAUGGCGCUGCUCAAACAAACCUGCUGCUGCUGAAGAAAGAUUCACACAUUUCAGCAAUAAAAAAAAAAAG